Molecule: ribosomal RNA, 778 nt
Filed under: Enterobacter cloacae
Lineage: Bacteria; Pseudomonadati; Pseudomonadota; Gammaproteobacteria; Enterobacterales; Enterobacteriaceae
Description: bacterial SSU rRNA
Rfam family: Bacterial small subunit ribosomal RNA
Source: RNAcentral
CCCGUUACUGGAGCUACCAUGCAGUCGAACGGUAACAGGAAGCAGCUUGCUGCUUCGCUGACGAGUGGCGGACGGGUGAGUAAUGUCUGGGAAACUGCCUGAUGGAGGGGGAUAACUACUGGAAACGGUAGCUAAUACCGCAUAACGUCGCAAGACCAAAGAGGGGGACCUUCGGGCCUCUUGCCAUCAGAUGUGCCCAGAUGGGAUUAGCUAGUAGGUGGGGUAACGGCUCACCUAGGCGACGAUCCCUAGCUGGUCUGAGAGGAUGACCAGCCACACUGGAACUGAGACACGGUCCAGACUCCUACGGGAGGCAGCAGUGGGGAAUAUUGCACAAUGGGCGCAAGCCUGAUGCAGCCAUGCCGCGUGUAUGAAGAAGGCCUUCGGGUUGUAAAGUACUUUCAGCGGGGAGGAAGGCGAUGCGGUUAAUAACCGCGUCGAUUGACGUUACCCGCAGAAGAAGCACCGGCUAACUCCGUGCCAGCAGCCGCGGUAAUACGGAGGGUGCAAGCGUUAAUCGGAAUUACUGGGCGUAAAGCGCACGCAGGCGGUCUGUCAAGUCGGAUGUGAAAUCCCCGGGCUCAACCUGGGAACUGCAUCCGAAACUGGCAGGCUUGAGUCUCGUAGAGGGGGGUAGAAUUCCAGGUGUAGCGGUGAAAUGCGUAGAGAUCUGGAGGAAUACCGGUGGCGAAGGCGGCCCCCUGGACGAAGACUGACGCUCAGGUGCGAAAGCGUGGGGAGCAAACAGGAUUAGAUAUUGGGGGGGAUGAGUUCAAGA